UCCCUGGUGGCUCAGACGGUAGAGCAUCUGCCCACAAUGCGGGAGACCCGGGUUCAAUCCUCCGGUCGGGAAG
This 73-nucleotide transfer RNA is filed under the name Ovis aries (sheep). The record is from Rfam by way of RNAcentral. Lineage: Eukaryota; Metazoa; Chordata; Mammalia; Artiodactyla; Bovidae.